UAGGGAAUCUUCCGCAAUGGGCGAAAGCCUGACGGAGCAACGCCGCGUGAGUGAUGAAGGUCUUCGGAUCGUAAAACUCUGUUAUUAGGGAAGAACAAAUGUGUAAGUAACUAUGCACGUCUUGACGGUACCUAAUCAGAAAGCCACGGCUAACUACGUGCCAGCAGCCGCGGUAAUACGUAGGUGGCAAGCGUUAUCCGGAAUUAUUGGGCGUAAAGCGCGCGUAGGCGGUUUUUUAAGUCUGAUGUGAAAGCCCACGGCUCAACCGUGGAGGGUCAUUGGAAACUGGAAAACUUGAGUGCAGAAGAGGCAAGUGGAAUUCCAGGUGUAGCGGUGAAAUGCGCAGAGAUAUGGAGGAACACCAGUGGCGAAGGCGACUUUCUGGUCUGUACCUGACGCUGAUGUGCGAAAGCGUGGGGAUCAAACAGG
RNAcentral lists this ribosomal RNA (429 nucleotides) under Actinomycetes bacterium. RNAcentral describes it as "Actinobacteria bacterium partial 16S ribosomal RNA". It matches the Rfam family "Bacterial small subunit ribosomal RNA", at positions 355 to 776 of the family's 1533-position model. The record is from RNAcentral. Lineage: Bacteria; Bacillati; Actinomycetota; Actinomycetes.